RNAcentral lists this ribosomal RNA (233 nucleotides) under uncultured bacterium. Its description in RNAcentral is "partial 16S ribosomal RNA". It matches the Rfam family "Bacterial small subunit ribosomal RNA", at positions 103 to 334 of the family's 1533-position model. The record is from RNAcentral.
CGGGUGAGUAACGCGUGAGGAACCUGCCUCAAAGAGGGGGACAACAGUUGGAAACGACUGCUAAUACCGCAUAAGCCCACGGCUCGGCAUCGAGCAGAGGGAAAAGGAGCAAUCCGCUUUGAGAUGGCCUCGCGUCCGGUUAGCUAGUUGGUGAGGUAAUGGCCCACCAAGGCGACGAUCGGUAGCCGGACUGAGAGGUUGAACGGCCACAUUGGGACUGAGACACGGCCCAG